GAACGUACCCAGAUCUAAGGAAUAGCCACUGGAAACGGUGAGUAAUACCUUAUACGCCCUUCGGGGGAAAGAUUUAUCGGAUUUGGAUCGGCCCGCGUUAGAUUAGGUAGUUGGUGGGGUAAUGGCCUACCAAGCCUACGAUCUAUAGCUGGUUUUAGAGGAUGAUCAGCAACACUGGGACUGAGACACGGCCCAGACUCCUACGGGAGGCAGCAGUGGGGAAUCUUAGACAAUGGGCGCAAGCCUGAUCUAGCCAUGCCGCGUGAGUGAUGAAGGCCUUAGGGUCGUAAAGCUCUUUCGCCCGUGAUGAUAAUGACAGUAGCAGGUAAAGAAACUCCGGCUAACUCCGUGCCAGCAGCCGCGGUAAUACGGAGGGGGUUAGCGUUGUUCGGAAUUACUGGGCGUAAAGCGCACGUAGGCGGAUUAGAAAGUUAGGGGUGAAAUCCCGGGGCUCAACCUCGGAACUGCCUCUAAAACUCCUAGUCUAGAGUUCGAGAGAGGUGAGUGGAAUUCCAAGUGUAGAGGUGAAAUUCGUAGAUAUUUGGAGGAACACCAGUGGCGAAGGCGGCUCACUGGCUCGAUACUGACGCUGAGGUGCGAAAGUGUGGGGAGCAAACAGGAUUAGAUACCCUGGUAG
RNAcentral lists this ribosomal RNA (637 nucleotides) under uncultured Roseovarius sp. RNAcentral's name for it is "bacterial SSU rRNA". It matches the Rfam family "Bacterial small subunit ribosomal RNA", at positions 122 to 793 of the family's 1533-position model. Lineage: Bacteria; Pseudomonadati; Pseudomonadota; Alphaproteobacteria; Rhodobacterales; Roseobacteraceae. The record is from RNAcentral.